RNAcentral lists this ribosomal RNA (496 nucleotides) under uncultured bacterium. Its description in RNAcentral is "partial 16S ribosomal RNA". It matches the Rfam family "Bacterial small subunit ribosomal RNA", at positions 28 to 506 of the family's 1533-position model. The record is from RNAcentral.
GAUGAACGCUGGCGGCGUGCCUAAUACAUGCAAGUCGAGCGAACGGACGAGAAGCUUGCUUCUCUGAUGUUAGCGGCGGACGGGUGAGUAACACGUGGAUAACCUACCUAUAAGACUGGGAUAACUUCGGGAAACCGGAGCUAAUACCGGAUAAUAUUUUGAACCGCAUGGUUCAAAAGUGAAAGACGGCCUUGCUGUCACUUAUAGAUGGAUCUGCGCUGCAUUAGCUAGUUGGUAAGGUAACGGCUUACCAAGGCAACGAUGCAUAGCCGACCUGAGAGGGUGAUCGGCCACACUGGAACUGAGACCCGGUCCAGACUCCUACGGGAGGCAGCAGUAGGGAAUCUUCCGCAACGGGCGAAAGCCUGACGGAGCAACGCCGCGUGAGUGAUGAAGGUCUUCGGAUCGUAAAACUCUGUUAUUAGGGAAGAACAUAUGUGUAAGUAACUGUGCACAUCUUGACGGUACCUAAUCAGAAAGCCACGGCUAACUACGU